Molecule: long non-coding RNA, 1616 nt
Filed under: Triticum aestivum (bread wheat)
Lineage: Eukaryota; Viridiplantae; Streptophyta; Magnoliopsida; Poales; Poaceae
Description: long non-coding RNA (TAES_LNC000732)
Source: RNAcentral
ACGGAGGAAGAGAAUAAGAAUCCGGCGUGGGAGGAUGAGGAGGAAAAGGAUCAGGCGAGAAAGGAGGUGGUUACAGGUCUGAACUUUGAUCCUCUUUCCCACCUAUACUUAGCAUGAUUUAUUUUCAGUAUUCUCUGUAGUUUAUAAGCAGCAAAUGCCACCAGGGAAUGCUCCAUGUUGUAAGAAAUUUGUGAACUCUGAACCUAGUCAAGUGCUUCUACUACAAGGUACUAUAUAGGUACCUGAUAUUUGGAAACUGUCAAAUGCCUUUACCUGCUCACACAAUAUCCCUGAAACAGCAACUGUUCCACUGGUUUUCUGAAACAGCAACUGUUACAGUGAAGAAAAACCCAUGACUGGUUUGUCACAGCCAAAGGUGGGUGCAGGAGAUGAUGAUGAUGCGCUGCUAAUAUUGGACUUGCCAGUGGUAAGCUCAUUUUCAUAAUCAAGAAACAUGCUUGUGGCCUUAACAAGUAACACUACCUGACAUUUUCUUACUUUUAUGCACAUGGACAGUAUGUAUAAUGACACCUGAAGCAUUUUGGUACUGCAUGUCAGUAUGUAUAAUGAUUUAUUUUUAGUAUUAUCUUUUCAGUUAAGAGUCAUUUUUGUGGCAGCCCAGAGAUAGGAACACUGUGUCUAGUCAAGACCUACUUAGCAACAAAUUAAGAGUAAGUGGCAUCUCGAGAAAAUUGAAGUUAAUUGAUACUAAAGUCCCCAUGCUACCUGCUUGUUUUAGUGAAAGGACCAAACCAAAUAUCCUUCAUUUUUAGUACCAGUACAUGCCCCUCUUAAUUUUUAUAUAACCAAUAAUCUGAAUUGGUGAAGAUUAUUAGUAUUAAUCUGUACAAUAGCUUAUUUUCAUCAGUGCUAGCUAGCUGCAUGUCCCAGUUCAGUACACGUGCAUGUCCGCAUGUUUGCUAGCUGCAUGUAUGUUAUUUGAACAAAUGAUCGGCAUGAAAAAGCUUGAUACUAUAAGCUACAAAGUAAAUUCCUGAAACUUUGUUCUAAUAUUCAGGACAGGUCUUCAGAGCAGCAGCCAUUGACUUGGAAAAGUUCGGGACUAAAAUUUGAUGUUCAGGAGAAUCAAAUUCAUCGUAAAUAAGGGGCUGCCAUUGACUUGUCGUUCGUCGCAAAGUUCAGGAGAAUCUGAAUGUAUGUUCAGAACUAUGAAAUCUGGUGUUCAAGCAGAUGUUCAGGAUGUGAAAUCUGAAACCUGAAUCCGAUGUUCAUGCUAAGCACUGAUGUAUGCUCACUGAGAUUAUGUUAGUUUUAAAACUGCUCGUUGCUCCGUUUGAUAAACUGAAUCUAACAUUGUAUCAAAUGGACCGAAGAUUUGCUCGUUGCGCAUUUGAAAAACUGAAUCUAACAUUCUAUCAAAUGGACUGAAGAUUUGCUCGUUGCCGCAUUUGAAAAACUGAAUCUAACAUUAUAUCAAAUGGACCGAAGAUUUGCUCGUUACUGCAUUUGAAAAACUGAAUCUAACAUUGUAUCAAAUGGACCGAAGAUUUGCUCGUUGCUGCAUUUGAAAAACUGAAUCUAACAUUGUAUCAAAUGGACCGAAGAUUUGCUCGAUGCUGCAAAUCUGAAUGUAGUUUGAACAUUGUUCAGGAUUG